UGCCCGAUAGUAUAACGGUAGUAUGUCAGAUUCUGGCUCUGAAGGUCUAGGUUCGAAACCUGGUCGGGCAA
Molecule: transfer RNA, 71 nt
Filed under: Williamsia sp.
Lineage: Bacteria; Bacillati; Actinomycetota; Actinomycetes; Mycobacteriales; Nocardiaceae
Description: tRNA-Gln
Rfam family: tRNA
About the family: Transfer RNA (tRNA) molecules are approximately 80 nucleotides in length. Their secondary structure includes four short double-helical elements and three loops (D, anti-codon, and T loops).
Source: RNAcentral